Molecule: non-coding RNA, 945 nt
Filed under: Pterobunocephalus sp. ANSP 182774
Lineage: Eukaryota; Metazoa; Chordata; Actinopteri; Siluriformes; Aspredinidae
Description: partial 12S ribosomal RNA
Rfam family: Bacterial small subunit ribosomal RNA
Source: RNAcentral
CUUUACCAUCAGCUAUAGCCUAAUUUAUACAUGCAAGUAUCCGCACCCCCGUUGAGAAUGCCCUAUUCCCCUCUACCCGRGGACAAGGAGCAGACAUCAGGGCANNCCCAAAUUGACACCAGGCCCAAGACGUCUUGCUAAGCCACNCCCUCAAGGGACCCCAGCAGUAACAAACAUUAAGCUAUAAGUGCAAACUUGACUUANUUAAGACUAAUUUGGGUCGGUAAAAUUCGUGCCAGCCACCGCGGUUAUANGAAAGACCCNAGUUGAUGAACGCCGGCGUANAGGGUGGUUAAGGCCUCACAACAAUAAAGCUAAAGACUCUCUAAGCUGUUAUACGCACCACGAGACACACGAAACCCAAAUACGAAAGUAGCUUUAAACACAACUGACCCCACGAAAGCUAAGAAACAAACUGGGAUUAGAUACCCCACGAUGCUUAGCCAUAAACCCAGAUAUAACACUACACACAUAUCCGCCAGGGUACUACGAGCACAGCUUAAAACCUAAAGGACUUGGCGGUGUCUCAGACCCACCUAGAGGAGCCUGUUCUAGAACCGAUACCCCCCGUUGAACCUCACCACCCCUUGCCUUGUCCGCCUAUAUACCGCCGUCGUCAGCUUACCCUGUGAAGGCCCAAUAGUAAGCAAAAUGGGUACCCCCAAAAACGUCAGGUCGAGGUGUAGCGUAUGGAGUGGAAAGAAAUGGGCUACAUUUUCUACAACAUAGAAUAUAACGAACGGCACCCUGAAACAGCUGCCUGAAGGCGGAUUUAGUAGUAAAUAAUUAACAGAGCGUAUUUUUGAAACAGGCUCUGAGACGCGCACACACCGCCCGUCACUCUCCCCCCACACACACAACUAUAUUUAUAAUACAUUACAAGAUUAGACGCGGGGAGGCAAGUCNUAACACGGUAAGUGUACCGGAAGGUGCACUUGGAUUAUC